Molecule: long non-coding RNA, 387 nt
Organism: Manduca sexta (tobacco hornworm)
Lineage: Eukaryota; Metazoa; Arthropoda; Insecta; Lepidoptera; Sphingidae
Exons: 2
Source: RefSeq, a predicted model, not a curated record
GUGCACUGUGCAGUGAGCACGCACGGUAGUAAACAAACGGCCACAAAUCACAGAACACCACACGAAAUACAAAUUGGCACGUGAUUUAACUAAAAUUGUCACACAUAAGUUUAAUUAUUGCAGACAGGGUGCGCAGGCGACGAAGGUAGCGCCGCUCGCCGCACCUCGAGCGCCUCGGACCUCUCGCCCGCGAGCCUCCGACUCGGCUGUAUGCACACAACGCCCUCGGUAAUGGAAGUACAGUAGGAGAGGGAAGCUGUUGACUUCACAAGACGUAAUUAUUAAAAUUAAAAUUUUGGAGAUUAUCGAGAUUGCAUCAAUUCUGGAAUCCUAUCAAAUUGUAAUGUUUACAAGUACUAAAAUGUAAUAAAGUUUGUCGAGAUUAAA